RNA transcript from Sorghum bicolor (sorghum), 1922 nucleotides. It is a transcript of the gene named factor of DNA methylation 2-like, with no coding region annotated. The transcript has 10 exons. NCBI's taxonomy places the organism in Eukaryota, Viridiplantae, Streptophyta, Magnoliopsida, Poales, Poaceae. The record is from RefSeq and is a predicted model, not a curated record.
UACAUUGGUGGGGUGGUUGCCCGUGACUCUGCGGCGCCAUUUUUGGCAUACAGAGAGCGAGAGGGGAGGAGCACUGAGCACAUGACUGCUCUGCUCGGCUGCUUUCUCCUUCCUCUCCCCAGCGAAAACCCAAAAGAAAUCAAAAUGCUUUUGGUACAACAUUCAUUCGGACUGCUCUUGUCACCGUGUUCAACUUGGUAGUAGUUUGCAAGGUUGAUUUGAGGGGUACUGAUAAUUGGCUGGGAGUGGUGGACAACAAAUUGACUGUAUGGCAGAGGACACAGGAAUGAGUGGACUCCUAGGUGCAUUGGCUACAAAGGUUGACCUCAAGUUGUCAUUACUCAAAGAUGUUAUGGCUGAGUACACGGAGAUAAAACGUGUGAUCAAUGGGUUAGCCGAAGAAAAAGUGAGACUCCAACAAGAGAAGGAGAGGCUCCAGCACGAGAAGGAGAUGCUUCAGCAUGAAGAGCAAUCAAAUGGAGAGACUUUGGCAGCAAUGAAGGAGGACCUUUUGGCAUCAAAGGACACAUUGGUAGCAGCAAGAGAUGCACUUGUGGCAUCAGCAGAAGAGAUUUCUCAAAAGAACUCCUGCCUGGAGUUUCUAAAGAAAAAACUUCAAGAGAGUGAAGCCAAGAAUAAUCAAGCUGAGCAACUGUGUGGAAGUGCUAUGGACACUAUGUAUAUCCAACCAAGAGGAGUGCAAACAAGAUCAAUGCAAAAGAGGAAAAUAUUAUCCGAGGGACCUUUGGACUAUGGUGCUGAUGAAAAUGAGCAUACUAGCCAUCUGGAUGGCCCAUCUCGAUCUCCUUUGGAAUUGUUGGCAAAUCUUAGUGCGCCAACGGGAUCAAUGGAGAAACAGAAAGGGCUGUCUGAAAGACCUCUGGGCAGCGGUGCUGACAAUCUUGAGGUUACAGAAGAGCGCCCUAGGCAAGAACUAGUAAACAACCCACCUGCUAAGGAAGCCUCAUGUGUUUUUGUGAGCAAAGGAGAUGACCUAGAAGCAGUCAGAGGCGAGCUGAUCAAGGGAUUCCUUGAAAUUGAUACUGGAGGAAGGAUAAUUGGGAUAAAAGAAAUGGGGGAAUUGGAUGAGAAGGCAUUCGAGGCUGCUUGUCUUGCAAAAGUGCCUCCUGAAGAAGUUGGUGCAGCAUCUUCUCAGUUAUAUGCAUCAUGGAAGCAGCAACUUGGUGACCUAAGUUGGUAUCCUUUCAAGGCUAUCACAAUUGAUGGCAACCAUCAGGAGAUCGUGAAUAUUGAUGAUGAUAAGCUGCAAGAGCUGAAGAGGGCAUGGGGUUCUUGUGCUUAUAAUGCUGUGGUUAACGCAUUGGUGGAGAUGAAAGAGUACGGCCGCCUAAAUGACAGAAGCAUUGCCUAUGAGCUAUGGAACUUCAAGGAAGGGAGGAGGGCUACUACAAGGGAGUGCGUCGACUACUUGUCGACUCAGGUGAAGAGGCUGACUGUGACGAAGCGCAGAAAGACACGCAGGAGCGUCUGAUUAGUAGUAUGACAUUGAGACACUUCAUACUGAAGGGACAGGAGAGGUACUAGCAGAAGAAACAAGAGUAUUUCAAUAAAGAACUGGUGGAGUGGCGUGGCGUGAGCUACCACCCUUAACUCCCGAAGGAUCUGAAAGUAGCAACACAGGAACUCAAAGUUCUGUUCGUUUAUGUACACAUAUAGUAGGCUAUGUAUGGUACUGCUUCAUAAGUUCAUAUAUUGAAUCAGUUCUUCUGCCACGAGCUGUGGCUCCGAUUAGUGGAGAACCAGACUGCAUAGUAUUGCAAGGAACUCUUAUCCUAGCCUAACUAGGAGAUCAUGAAUUGUGUCUAGUAUGUUAUCCCCAUGGACCAUGAACUUUUAUGAUGUUCGUGUUUCUUACAUUAGAAUCUAACUCAAUAUUACGGUGUUCUGAAACACUUUGAUUA